This 468-nucleotide ribosomal RNA is filed under the name uncultured bacterium. RNAcentral's name for it is "partial 16S ribosomal RNA". It matches the Rfam family "Bacterial small subunit ribosomal RNA", at positions 28 to 507 of the family's 1533-position model. The record is from RNAcentral.
GACGAACGCUGGCGGCGUGCUUAAUACAUGCAAGUCGAACGGAAAGGCCCUGCUUUUGUGGGGUGCUCGAGUGGCGAACGGGUGAGUAACACGUGAGUAACCUGCCCUUGACUUUGGGAUAACUUCAGGAAACUGGGGCUAAUACCGGAUAGGAGCUCCUGCUGCAUGGUGGGGGUUGGAAAGUUUCGGCGGUUGGGGAUGGACUCGCGGCUUAUCAGCUUGUUGGUGGGGUAGUGGCUUACCAAGGCUUUGACGGGUAGCCGGCCUGAGAGGGUGACCGGCCACAUUGGGACUGAGAUACGGCCCAGACUCCUACGGGAGGCAGCAGUGGGGAAUAUUGGACAAUGGGCGGAAGCCUGAUGCAGCAACGCCGCGUGCGGGAUGACGGCCUUCGGGUUGUAAACCGCUUUCGCCUGUGACGAAGCGUGAGUGACGGUAAUGGGUAAAGAAGCACCGGCUAACUACGUG